UACGGAGGGUGCAAGCGUUAUCCGGAUUCACUGGGUUUAAAGGGUGCGUAGGUGGGCAGGUAAGUCAGUGGUGAAAUCUCCGGGCUUAACCCGGAAACUGCCAUUGAUACUAUCUGUCUUGAAUACUGUGGAGGUCAGCGGAAUAUGUCAUGUAGCGGUGAAAUGCUUAGAUAUGACAUAGAACACCAAUUGCGAAGGCAGCUGGCUACACAAAUAUUGACACUGAGGCACGAAAGCGUGGGGAUCAAACAGG
This 253-nucleotide ribosomal RNA is filed under the name uncultured bacterium. RNAcentral's name for it is "partial 16S ribosomal RNA". It matches the Rfam family "Bacterial small subunit ribosomal RNA", at positions 524 to 776 of the family's 1533-position model. The record is from RNAcentral.